Molecule: long non-coding RNA, 1677 nt
Organism: Xiphophorus hellerii (green swordtail)
Lineage: Eukaryota; Metazoa; Chordata; Actinopteri; Cyprinodontiformes; Poeciliidae
Exons: 2
Source: RefSeq, a predicted model, not a curated record
UGUAAAAGAAACAUGAUGAACUGAUUCUAACAUCUGAUCCAGUCAAACUGGUUUAAAGAGUCCAAACCAGCAAAACCAGAACAUUUUAUCAUGACGUGUUUGAACAUUUCAGUUGGGCCUUUAGUGGUUCUGGACUGGAAUUAAAUGGACUUUCAGAACCAAACUGUGACAUCACAGCAUGAGGAAGGGGAGAUGGGGGGGGGUCUCUUUAAUGAGCAGAUGGCCAAGUUAAGGAGGCAGGUGAGGUCAGAGGUCAUCCUCAAGGUUGUCCACAGCAGCUGCCUCACAUGUGAAACCAAAGGAGCUGAAUAGGCAACGUCUGCUCCUCCAGCGGCUCCAAAGAUCAGCUCCUGGUCCGCUCUACUGGUACCGCUCAAUAAUUACAAUGUGGAGUUACAGUGAAAUAUUUACUGCCAGGCAGCUCAGAAAGUCAAACACUGAUUUUAUAGAGAUUCAUCACACAGAGGAAAAGAUUUCAAGAUUUUAUUUUGUUUUAAUGAUUCUGGCUGACAGAUAAAGAAAACCCAAAAUUCAGUUUCUCAGAAAAUCAGAAUCUCACAUCAGACCAAUCAGAAAGGACGUUUGAAGCACAAAUGUUAGAGUUAUGAAAGUUUGUCCCUCUCUGCUCUCAGUACUUGGUUGUUCUCUUGUGUCAUGGAUUACUGCAUCAAUGCAAUGUGGCAUGGAGGCCAUCAACCUGCAGCACUGCAGUAAUGAAGCCCAGAUUAAUUAAUGCAUCAAUCAACCUUUAUUCAAGUUUUACAAAUCAAUAAAGGAAAAACACUCAACAUUGUCUUGUAUAGAAACUCUAAGACCACUAAGACUUCUUAAAAUAUAGAGUCUCUGAGAACAUUUCUUAAAAAUACAGUCAAUGUUUUCAGCAAAGUUGAGCUGACUGUCCAGGAAUGACCCAAAGUAUUUAAAAUUUGCCACAGUUUCAACAAGUUAGCCAUCGUGUCAGGGAUCGGGGUGUUUGGGGUUUCCUUGUUGCAUCUAGGUUUGUCCACCAGGAGGCAUCAAGACUCUUUGUUUUACCUGGGAGAGCCUGUUGCGGCUCAGCUCACCUGAACCCAAUUACCUCAUCCUACUGGGAGUACAAGAGGAGAUGACCGCCAGUACCUCUUCGCUUGAGUGUUAGCCAGUUACGGUACCUCUGAGCCUCCUAGAGAAUUUUCCUUCUCUGAGCCUUCCUCGUAGAUCGUCCUGAGUAAUUUGUUCGUUGUCUUUCCUGCCUUCAAGGUUUAUCUUCCUGUGACGCUCAAGAUCCUCCACAGACGAUCUCCACUGGUGAUUUCUGGAAACCUCCUCCUUGUGACGCCGCGGGUCUUACCCGCUGGUUGCCCGAGUCCACUCUCACUUCCUCCGUCGAUCGCUGAUGGUCCUGGACUCCUUCCCCGCUGGUGGUCUUCGCUCUUCGGUCUCCUGGUGCUCCCGCUCUUACCUGUCCGUCCUCCCCCCCACGUCUGCCCACCUCCGUGCAGAUCCGCUACGGCUGUAGCCUCUGCUUCCUGGAACACGGACUGUCAGCCUACGUAAGCCCCGACUCCUCAGCCGAACCCCUUCCCUGGAUUGGCCGCCUGCCUCACAAUGAGCCGACUGUUCCGUGGAUCCAUCCUGAGGAUUUCCUCCCUCUAUUCCUCAUUAUCCACCCUUGUUAUAAUAAACAUCUUUAACUGA